GAUGAACGCUGGCGGCGUGCCUAAUACAUGCAAGUCGAGCGAACAGACGAGGAGCUUGCUCCUCUGACGUUAGCGGCGGACGGGUGAGUAACACGUGGAUAACCUACCUAUAAGACUGGGAUAACUUCGGGAAACCGGAGCUAAUACCGGAUAAUAUAUUGAACCGCAUGGUUCAAUAGUGAAAGACGGUUUUGCUGUCACUUAUAGAUGGAUCCGCGCCGCAUUAGCUAGUUGGUAAGGUAACGGCUUACCAAGGCAACGAUGCGUAGCCGACCUGAGAGGGUGAUCGGCCACACUGGAACUGAGACACGGUCCAGACUCCUACGGGAGGCAGCAGUAGGGAAUCUUCCGCAAUGGGCGAAAGCCUGACGGAGCAACGCCGCGUGAGUGAUGAAGGUCUUCGGAUCGUAAAACUCUGUUAUUAGGGAAGAACAAAUGUGUAGGUAACUAUGCACGUCUUGACGGUACCUAAUUAGAAAGCCACGGCUAACUACGUG
RNAcentral lists this ribosomal RNA (497 nucleotides) under uncultured bacterium. RNAcentral's name for it is "partial 16S ribosomal RNA". It matches the Rfam family "Bacterial small subunit ribosomal RNA", at positions 28 to 507 of the family's 1533-position model. The record is from RNAcentral.